Molecule: ribosomal RNA, 344 nt
Filed under: uncultured beta proteobacterium
Lineage: Bacteria; Pseudomonadati; Pseudomonadota; Betaproteobacteria
Description: bacterial SSU rRNA
Rfam family: Bacterial small subunit ribosomal RNA
Source: RNAcentral
CGGCAGCACGGGGUACUUGUUACCUGGUGGCGAGUGGCGAACGGGUGAGUAAUACAUCGGAACGUACCUUAUCGUGGGGGAUAACGCAGCGAAAGCUGUGCUAAUACCGCAUACGCCCUGAGGGGGAAAGCGGGGGAUCGAAAGACCUCGCGCGAUUAGAGCGGCCGAUGCCUGAUUAGCUUGUUGGUGGGGUAAAAGCCCACCAAGGCGACGAUCAGUAGCUGGUCUGAGAGGACGAUCAGCCACACUGGGACUGAGACACGGCCCAGACUCCUACGGGAGGCAGCAGUGGGGAAUUUUGGACAAUGGGGGAAACCCUGAUCCAGCAAUGCCGCGUGAGUGAA